AUCGGCACCGUGCGGAGCAGACCCAAACACACCUCUGGGCUGCCUUAACAGACUGAACAGCCUAAUCGUGUUGAAAACAACACUCACUGUAAUGUUCAGAGCCCCACACAUUCAGGUUGUCUAUAAUCGCCAUAGCAUAACAUCCCUGUGGUUUAAUGUAGUAAACAUUUAAAAUGGCAUUAUGAGCAGUAUUGAACGUGUUUAAUUAGCAGUUCAGUUUGCAUAUAUUCAGACCUCUAUAGAUCCUCGAACCCCAGUGGAAAGCCCAUUGAAAAGUAUAUAUGAUUCUUGUUCAUUAGUCACAUGCUGUUUCUUCUCUAGAGGUGCUGACCUAGGCAGUUCAUUUACCCCCUACAUACUCCCUGUUUACAACGCCCUGUGCCAUGCACAGCAUUAGGAGAGACCUGAAGCCGUCCCCAGCUUGGGAGUGGGACGCCUUGAGAAAUGGACGCCCUCAAAAGCCCUGACAAGUAUACCACACCAAGGAGUGAGGACUUUGUUUUUAUGUCUCACAUUUAAAAAAUCUGUAUUGUUUCUGCAUAGAGUUAUGGCAGGGUGUGAAUUAGGGGUUGAAGUCAUGGUAAUGGGUUCGAUUAGAAUCAGGGUUACAUGUAUGUAUACGGUUAGGAAGUUUGUGGUUUAGCUACGGUAAGAUUUAUGGUUAGUUAAAACAGUAUUUUCAUUGUAAAUCAGGUGUAAACCCCAAUACUGGCCAGACAAUUACAGCAAAACAUAUGAGGGUAAAGUUAGGCUCAGGAAAAUGUAAAAUAUAUUCCAGGGUCAGGGUAAGGUCUCAAGGUCCCACAUGGAAGGAAAAAUAAACAAACACCAUGAAAGAAAGGUGCGUGUGAGUGUGUGUGUGUGUGUGUUAUUGACAUCAUGAAUAUGCAUACACCCUGUAAAACACAGAAAAUGAGUUCAGCCCUCAGCGCCAUUCUACUGCUUCCAUGUGGUAAAUUGUUGUAAAUGCAUUUACACUGUAGUCAGUCCUGUCUAGAACAUGCAGUAAGAGACAUAUAGAUGUAUUGCCAUCUACUGGCCCCCUUCAGCAAUGGUCUCCCCUGCAUGAACAAACUGAUACCAGGUAUUUGACCAGGUCAGCUGAUUGAGACAGAGUGGCCAAUGGUUCUCUGAGCUUUUAUAAUACUAUAAUACAAGAUGGUCUCAACCAUGCAGCUGUAGAGGUUUUGGAGGAUCUUAGGGCUCAUACAUUUUUAUGAGCCCUUAGGCCCUGAUCUCAGGCCCUGAUCUUAGGGUCCAGUUGAAGAGGGAGGUGUUCAGUCUCAGGGUCCAGUGGAAGAGGGAGGUGUUCAGUCUCAGGGUCCAGUUGAAGAGGGCGGUGUUCAAUCUCAGGGUCCAGUGGAAGAGGGAGGUGUUCAGUCUCAAGGUCCAGUGGAAGAGGGAGGUGUUCAGUCUCAGGGUCCAGUGGAAGAGGGAGGUGUUCAGUCUCAGGGUCCAGUGGAAGAGGGAGGUGUUCAGUCUCAGGGUCCAGUGGAAGAGGGAGGUGUUCAGUCUCAGGGUCCAGUUGAAGAGGGCGGUGUUCA
Long non-coding RNA from Esox lucius (northern pike), 1544 nucleotides. The record is from Ensembl. Lineage: Eukaryota; Metazoa; Chordata; Actinopteri; Esociformes; Esocidae.